RNAcentral lists this ribosomal RNA (335 nucleotides) under Brevibacterium antiquum CNRZ 918. RNAcentral's name for it is "bacterial SSU rRNA". It matches the Rfam family "Bacterial small subunit ribosomal RNA", at positions 1 to 328 of the family's 1533-position model. Lineage: Bacteria; Bacillati; Actinomycetota; Actinomycetes; Micrococcales; Brevibacteriaceae. The record is from RNAcentral.
UUUUUAUGGAGAGUUUGAUCCUGGCUCAGGACGAACGCUGGCUGCGUGCUUAACACAUGCAAGUCGAACGCUGAAGCCCUGGUGCUUGCACCGGGGUGGAUGAGUGGCGAACGGGUGAGUAACACGUGAGUAACCUGCCCCCGACUUCGGGAUAAGCCCGGGAAACUGGGUCUAAUACCGGAUAUGACGACCGAAGGCAUCUUUGGUUGUGGAAAGUUUUUUCGGUUGGGGAUGGGCUCGCGGCCUAUCAGUUUGUUGGUGAGGUAAUGGCUCACCAAGACGACGACGGGUAGCCGGCCUGAGAGGGCGACCGGCCACACUGGGACUGAGACACG